Molecule: ribosomal RNA, 207 nt
Filed under: uncultured bacterium
Lineage: Bacteria
Description: partial 16S ribosomal RNA
Rfam family: Bacterial small subunit ribosomal RNA
Source: RNAcentral
CGCGUAGGCGGCUUUGUAAGUCAGAGGUGAAAGCCUGGAGCUCAACUCCAGAACUGCCUUUGGGACUGCAUCGCUAGAAUCAUGGAGAGGUAAGUGGAAUUCCGAGUGUAGAGGUGAAAUUCGUAGAUAUUCGGAAGAACACCAGUGGCGAAGGCGACUUACUGGACAUGUAUUGACGCUGAGGUGCGAAAGCGUGGGGAGCAAACA